UACGAAGGGGGCUAGCGUUGUUCGGAAUUACUGGGCGUAAAGCGCACGUAGGCGGAUUUGUUAGUCAGGGGUGAAAUCCCGGGGCUCAACCUCGGAACUGCCUUUGAUACUGCAAGUCUCGAGUCCGGAAGAGGUGAGUGGAAGUCCUAGUGUAGAGGUGAAAUUCGUAGAUAUUAGGAGGAACACCAGUGGCGAAGGCGGCUCACUGGUCCGGUACUGACGCUGAGGUGCGAAAGCGUGGGGAGCAAACAGG
RNAcentral lists this ribosomal RNA (253 nucleotides) under uncultured bacterium. RNAcentral describes it as "partial 16S ribosomal RNA". It matches the Rfam family "Bacterial small subunit ribosomal RNA", at positions 524 to 776 of the family's 1533-position model. The record is from RNAcentral.